Molecule: unclassified non-coding RNA, 331 nt
Filed under: Hevea brasiliensis (rubber tree)
Lineage: Eukaryota; Viridiplantae; Streptophyta; Magnoliopsida; Malpighiales; Euphorbiaceae
Source: RNAcentral
UCUACAACUAACAAUAUCAACUAAUACACUAUCAGCACCAAACCCAUAAAGACUUGAUUUUCUAUCAGUGAUCGACAACUCCCUUUUGUGGUAAUCUGAUGAUUUGUUGAAUUCUAUUGCAAAAUGUCGGUGGAAAGGUCGUUCGAAGCAUGGGAGGAAGUGCAGCGGCAUGGCCAGGACCUUGCGGACCGGCUGGCGCAGGGAUUUACGGGCCUUAUUCAAUCCCAUAUGACAAACACGCCAAGUAAAAGCUGGCGUGUUUNNNNNNNNUGGAAUUCCGAGGCCAAAAUUUCAAUGGAAGGGAUUUGGGAGUUUUAACCGAUUAUAGUGG